This 78-nucleotide transfer RNA is filed under the name Pseudomonas aeruginosa. RNAcentral's name for it is "tRNA-Arg". It matches the Rfam family "tRNA". From Rfam's summary of the family: Transfer RNA (tRNA) molecules are approximately 80 nucleotides in length. Their secondary structure includes four short double-helical elements and three loops (D, anti-codon, and T loops). The record is from RNAcentral. Lineage: Bacteria; Pseudomonadati; Pseudomonadota; Gammaproteobacteria; Pseudomonadales; Pseudomonadaceae.
GUAUCCGUAGCUCAGUUGGAUAGAGGUACUGCCCUCCGAAGGCAGGGGUCGUGGGUUCGAAUCCCGCCGGAUGCGCCA